AUAAUGGGUCAGCGACUUAUAUUCUGUAGCAAGGUUAACCGAAUAGGGGAGCCGAAGGGAAACCGAGUCUUAACUGGGCGUUAAGUUGCAGGGUAUAGACCCGAAACCCGGUGAUCUAGCCAUGGGCAGGUUGAAGGUUGGGUAACACUAACUGGAGGACCGAACCGACUAAUGUUGAAAAAUUAGCGGAUGACUUGUGGCUGGGGGUGAAAGGCCAAUCAAACCGGGAGAUAGCUGGUUCUCCCCGAAAGCUAUUUAGGUAGCGCCUCGUGAAUUCAUCUCCGGGGGUAGAGCACUGUUUCGGCAAGGGGGUCAUCCCGACUUACCAACCCGAUGCAAACUGCGAAUACCGGAGAAUGUUAUCACGGGAGACACACGGCGGGUGCUAACGUCCGUCGUGAAGAGGGAAACAACCCAGACCGCCAGCUAAGGUCCCAAAGUCAUGGUUAAGUGGGAAACGAUGUGGGAAGGCCCAGACAGCCAGGAUGUUGGCUUAGAAGCAGCCAUCAUUUAAAGAAAGCGUAAUAGCUCACUGGUCGAGUCGGCCUGCGCGGAAGAUGUAACGGGGCUAAACCAUGCACCGAAGCUGCGGCAGCGACACUGUGUGUUGUUGGGUAGGGGAGCGUUCUGUAAGCCUGUGAAGGUGUCUGUGAGGAUGCUGGAGGUAUCAGAAGUGCGAAUGCUGACAUAAGUAACGAUAAAGCGGGUGAAAAGCCCGCUCGCCGGAAGACCAAGGGUUCCUGUCCAACGUUAAUCGGGGCAGGGUGAGUCGACCCCUAAGGCGAGGCCGAAAGGCGUAGUCGAUGGGAAACAGGUUAAUAUUCCUGUACUUGGUGUUACUGCGAAGGGGGGACGGAGAAGGCUAUGUUGGCCGGGCGACGGUUGUCCCGGUUUAAGCGUGUAGGCUGGUUUUCCAGGCAAAUCCGGAAAAUCAAGGCUGAGGCGUGAUGACGAGGCACUACGGUGCUGAAGCAACAAAUGCCCUGCUUCCAGGAAAAGCCUCUAAGCAUCAGGUAACAUCAAAUCGUACCCCAAACCGACACAGGUGGUCAGGUAGAGAAUACCAAGGCGCUUGAGAGAACUCGGGUGAAGGAACUAGGCAAAAUGGUGCCGUAACUUCGGGAGAAGGCACGCUGAUAUGUAGGUGAAGUCCCUCGCGGAUGGAGCUGAAAUCAGUCGAAGAUACCAGCUGGCUGCAACUGUUUAUUAAAAACACAGCACUGUGCAAACACGAAAGUGGACGUAUACGGUGUGACGCCUGCCCGGUGCCGGAAGGUUAAUUGAUGGGGUCAGCGCAAGCGAAGCUCUUGAUCGAAGCCCCGGUAAACGGCGGCCGUAACUAUAACGGUCCUAAGGUAGCGAAAUUCCUUGUCGGGUAAGUUCCGACCUGCACGAAUGGCGUAAUGAUGGCCAGGCUGUCUCCACCCGAGACUCAGUGAAAUUGAACUCGCUGUGAAGAUGCAGUGUACCCGCGGCAAGACGGAAAGACCCCGUGAACCUUUACUAUAGCUUGACACUGAACAUUGAGCCUUGAUGUGUAGGAUAGGUGGGAGGCUUUGAAGUGUGGACGCCAGUCUGCAUGGAGCCGACCUUGAAAUACCACCCUUUAAUGUUUGAUGUUCUAACGUGGACCCGUGAUCCGGGUUGCGGACAGUGUCUGGUGGGUAGUUUGACUGGGGCGGUCUCCUCCUAAAGAGUAACGGAGGAGCACGAAGGUUGGCUAAUCCUGGUCGGACAUCAGGAGGUUAGUGCAAUGGCAUAAGCCAGCUUGACUGCGAGCGUGACGGCGCGAGCAGGUGCGAAAGCAGGUCAUAGUGAUCCGGUGGUUCUGAAUGGAAGGGCCAUCGCUCAACGGAUAAAAGGUACUCCGGGGAUAACAGGCUGAUACCGCCCAAGAGUUCAUAUCGACGGCGGUGUUUGGCACCUCGAUGUCGGCUCAUCACAUCCUGGGGCUGAAGUAGGUCCCAAGGGUAUGGCUGUUCGCCAUUUAAAGUGGUACGCGAGCUGGGUUUAGAACGUCGUGAGACAGUUCGGUCCCUAUCUGCCGUGGGCGCUGGAGAACUGAGGGGGGCUGCUCCUAGUACGAGAGGACCGGAGUGGACGCAUCACUGGUGUUCGGGUUGUCAUGCCAAUGGCACUGCCCGGUAGCUAAAUGCGGAAGAGAUAAGUGCUGAAAGCAUCUAAGCACGAAACUUGCCCCGAGAUGAGUUCUCCCUGACCCUUUAAGGGUCCUGAAGGAACGUUGAAGACGACGACGUUGAUAGGCCGGGUGUGUAAGCGCAGCGAUGCGUUGAGCUAACCGGUACUAAUGAACCGUGAGGCUUAACCUU
This 2330-nucleotide ribosomal RNA is filed under the name Escherichia coli PA48. RNAcentral's name for it is "bacterial LSU rRNA". It matches the Rfam family "Bacterial large subunit ribosomal RNA", at positions 612 to 2925 of the family's 2925-position model. Lineage: Bacteria; Pseudomonadati; Pseudomonadota; Gammaproteobacteria; Enterobacterales; Enterobacteriaceae. The record is from RNAcentral.